GCAGCAGUGGGGAAUUUUCCGCAAUGGACGAAAGUCUGACGGAGCGACGCUGCGUGAAGGAUGAAGGCCCGUGGGUUGUAAACUUCUUUUCUCGAAGAAGAAAAAAAUGACGGUAUUCGAGGAAUAAGCAUCGGCUAACUCUGUGCCAGCAGCCGCGGUAAGACAGAGGAUGCAAGUGUUAUUCGGAAUGAUUGGGCGUAAAGAGUCUGUAGGCGGUUUAGAAAGUCUUUUGUGAAAUACUUCAGCUCAACUGAGGCUCCGCAAAAGAAACUUCUAGACUUGAGGAAAGUAGAGGUACAGGGAAUUUCCGGUGGAGCGGUGAAAUGCGUAGAUAUCGGAAGGAACACCAAUAUGGCGAAGGCACUGUACUGGGCUUUUCCUGACGCUCAGAGACGAAAGCUGAAGGAGUGAUUAGGAUUAGAUACCCUAGUAAUUUCAGCCGUAAACGAUGAAAACUCACUGUCGAGCCAAUAUAUGGAGCGGUGGUCAAGCUAACGCGUGAAGUUUUCCGCCUGGGGAUUACGCUUGCAAAAGUGAAACUCAAAGGAAUUGACGGGGACCCGCACAAGCGGUGGAGUAUGUGGUUUAAUUCGAUGCAACGCGAAAAACCUUACCAGGGUUUGAAAUAAUUUCAAAACUUCUUGAAAGAGAAGCCUCCUUCGGGAUGGAAUUACAGGUGGUGCAUGGCUGUCGUCAGCUCGUGUUGUGAAAUGUCAAGUUAAGUCUUGUAACGAGCGCAACCCAUGUCUCUUGUUGCUGUUUACAGUGCUUAAGAGAAACUGCCGAUCAACAUCGGAGGAAGGUGUGGAUGAUGUCAAGUCAGCAUGCCCCUUACAUCCUGGGCUACACACGUACUACAAUGGUCGAGACAAAGGGUCGCUAACCUGCAAAGGCAUGCCAAUCUCAUAAACUCGAUCUCAGUUCGGAUUGUACUCUGCAACUCGAGUACAUGAAGGUGG
RNAcentral lists this ribosomal RNA (959 nucleotides) under marine metagenome. RNAcentral's name for it is "bacterial SSU rRNA". It matches the Rfam family "Bacterial small subunit ribosomal RNA", at positions 348 to 1329 of the family's 1533-position model. The record is from RNAcentral.